This 923-nucleotide long non-coding RNA is filed under the name Citrus maxima (pomelo). RNAcentral's name for it is "long non-coding RNA (CMAX_LNC001582)". The record is from RNAcentral. Lineage: Eukaryota; Viridiplantae; Streptophyta; Magnoliopsida; Sapindales; Rutaceae.
GGUAAGAACUUUUAUUUUCUUUCUUUUUUUAGAGGUGGGAAAAUUUAUAUUCCAAUAAAACCGAUCAGAUUUUGGAUUGAUCGGGUUGAGGAAAAAGUAAUCUGAAAUUAAUUCGAACUUAUAAUCUGAUCUGUACUAUGGUCAGAUCAAAUCGAAUAAAAAAUUUAAAUCAUUUCCUAAUGAAAAAUCCACUAAAUAUCCAAUAGUAACAAGUUAAGCUUCCAUUAAGUAAUGAUAUAGACGAUUCAAUAACCCCACUCUGACCUAAAACUAACAAUGCUCUAAACACUCACAACCAUCACCAAUAUAGUUAAGCAAGAAAGAUGAUACAUUAAGCGUGUAUUGGUUGGGUUUUGAGCCAAGACGAUGGUGGUCGAUCAACUUCGAAGCAUUGUUGUCAAAGUCAAGCAAGCUACAGCAACGGUUGAGGUGGCCGAUAGAGCAGACUACAGCGAGUCACGGUGGAACAGGCUGCAAUAGGUCGCCUCAACAUGUCACGGUGGCCUGACUUCACGUUGGCUGGCAGGGUGGGUGCAUGGUGAUGAGUUUGGUCGGAUUGGAUCGAUCUGUUUUGAUUCGUGCACGGUGUUGGUUUGAUGGGUUUCUUCAAUUAUUGUGUGCUAUUAUUGUGUAGCGUGUCGUGUGUGUAGUUAGUAGAUAUUUAGGUUAAAAUUUAAAAAUUUUCUUUCUAGUUUAGUAUGUAAACCCAAAUGAAAUUUCUGAUUGAUUGGGUUGGCCAAAAUUUCACCCAAUCGUGAUAGAGUAUUCAUUUAUAUUUAUCCGAAUUUAAAUUUUUCAGAUCGGGUCGAGUCGGAUUAGAUUGAGUUAUUUGCCCAUCCUUUCUUUUUUUUCUGCAUUUAUCCAUCAACCAAACAUAAUGACAAAAAGAAUCCAAAAAAACCACAUAAGGUAGAUUGAAAAAA